Aplysia californica (California sea hare) is the source of this 589-nucleotide long non-coding RNA. RefSeq lists it as uncharacterized. The record is from RefSeq and is a predicted model, not a curated record. The transcript is spliced from 2 exons. Lineage: Eukaryota; Metazoa; Mollusca; Gastropoda; Aplysiida; Aplysiidae.
CCAGGAACUGGUGCCAUACAGGCGCUCUCACUGCCGUGAGCUCACGGGUCUGGAAGUAAUGGUCAUUGAAGAGCUCAGGGCGUGAUGAUUGCGGGACAGUAAGGAGCAAAAAACAUCGAUCCCACUCAUUGGUUCCUACUUUGUUCAGCAAGUGUUGAGGCGUAGCUGUUGAAUCAACCACAGUUGUGCUUAGGAGGGCGCAUAAACAUUUUAUUAACGAAAAAGGAAAGGAAAUAAAGCAUAGCCUUUAUAAGUAAUUGGAAAGACUGUCAGACUUUAUAGGAUUCCUUGUCCAACAUUGGGAACUUCCGUGAGUGUCUAACGGUGUCCGUUUCUUCUGAAUUGUUUCUUCGGCUUGAACUGGUUCAAUAUAAAGAAAGUGACGUUUCACUUUGUGUUCAUCGCCUGGAAAGGUUCCAGGGAUCGCUGUUAACAGGACACAGUUUCAAGUGCUAGAUCGUCGAAUAGACACGAAGUGUCUUCUACAGGAAGUAGUAUCUCUUGACAACUGAUUGCGGCGAUAUCCCCUUCCGAAAGUCAAGACAGCAGAGCUCUCAUUGAUUAAACAUCAGCAUCAUCCACGAAAAAA